CAAUAGCGUAUAUUAAAGUUGUUGCGGUUAAAAAGCUCGUAGUUGGAUUUCUGCCGAGGACGACCGGUCCGCCCUCUGGGUGAGUAUCUGGCUCGGCCUGGGCAUCUUCUUGGAGAACGUAGCUGCACUUGACUGUGUGGUGCGGUAUCCAGGACUUUUACUUUGAGGAAAUUAGAGUGUUUCAAGCAGGCUUACGCCUUGAAUACAUUAGCAUGGAAUAAUAAGAUAGGACCUCGGUUCUAUUUUGUUGGUUUCUAGAGCUGAGGUAAUGAUUAAUAGGGAUAGUUGGGGGCAUUCGUAUUUAACUGUCAGAGGUGAAAUUCUUGGAUUUGUGAAAGACGGACUACUGCGAAAGCAUUUGCCAAGGAUGUUUUCAUUGA
RNAcentral lists this ribosomal RNA (380 nucleotides) under uncultured eukaryote. RNAcentral describes it as "partial 18S ribosomal RNA". It matches the Rfam family "Eukaryotic small subunit ribosomal RNA", at positions 592 to 976 of the family's 1831-position model. The record is from RNAcentral.